GACGAACGCUGGCGGCGUGCUUAACACAUGCAAGUCGAACGGAAAGGCCCUGCUUUUGUGGGGUGCUCGAGUGGCGAACGGGUGAGUAACACGUGAGUAACCUGCCCUUGACUUUGGGAUAACUUCAGGAAACUGGGGCUAAUACCGGAUAGGAGCUCCUGCUGCAUGGUGGGGGUUGGAAAGUUUCGGCGGUUGGGGAUGGACUCGCGGCUUAUCAGCUUGUUGGUGGGGUAGUGGCUUACCAAGGCUUUGACGGGUAGCCGGCCUGAGAGGGUGACCGGCCACAUUGGGACUGAGAUACGGCCCAGACUCCUACGGGAGGCAGCAGUGGGGAAUAUUGCAAAAUGGGCGGAAGCCUGAUGCAGCAACGCCGUGUGCGGGAUGACGGCCUUCGGGUUGUAAACCGCUUUCGCCUGUGACGAAGCGUGAGUGACGGUAAUGGGUAAAGAAGCACCGGCUAACUACGUG
RNAcentral lists this ribosomal RNA (468 nucleotides) under uncultured bacterium. RNAcentral describes it as "partial 16S ribosomal RNA". It matches the Rfam family "Bacterial small subunit ribosomal RNA", at positions 28 to 507 of the family's 1533-position model. The record is from RNAcentral.